Molecule: ribosomal RNA, 715 nt
Filed under: Lentinula edodes (shiitake mushroom)
Lineage: Eukaryota; Fungi; Basidiomycota; Agaricomycetes; Agaricales; Omphalotaceae
Description: eukaryotic LSU rRNA
Rfam family: 5.8S ribosomal RNA (bases 269-422)
Source: RNAcentral
CGUAGGUGAACCUGCGGAAGGAUCAUUAUUGAAUUUUUUGGUGGUGGAUUGUUGCUGGCCUUUGGGUAUGUGCACAUCCUCCUCUGAUUCUAUUCAUCCACCUGUGCACUUUUUGUAGGAGUUCUUUCAUCAGGUUUUGAACAGGUGCUCAUUACGAGUUAACUUGGGAAGGACUAGUUGAAAAGACUUCUAUGUUCUUAUAAACUAUUGAAGUAUGUUAUAGAAUGAUUUUGUUAUUGGGACUUUAUUGACCCUUUAAACUUAAUACAACUUUCAGCAACGGAUCUCUUGGCUCUCCCAUCGAUGAAGAACGCAGCGAAAUGCGAUAAGUAAUGUGAAUUGCAGAAUUCAGUGAAUCAUCGAAUCUUUGAACGCACCUUGCGCCCUCUGGUAUUCCGGAGGGCAUGCCUGUUUGAGUGUCAUUAAAUUCUCAACUUUAUAAGUUUUUACUUAUUAAAGCUUGGAUAUUGGAGGUUUGCAGGCGUUUGUCAGCUCCUCUUAAAUUUAUUAGUGGAACCCUGUUUUGUUGGUUUUCAACCUUGGUGUGAUAACUAUCUACAUUUUGGUUUGUAAUCUUACAAUAAUAAAGCUCUAUUGGUUUGGGUUGUUGCAUUUUAGUAUGCUCAAUCUGUUCUACUCAUUGGAGAAAAAGGGAAAGUCUGCUUUCUAACUGUCUUUAUUGACUAUAUAUAACUUAUUUGCUGACCUCAAAUCA